This 496-nucleotide ribosomal RNA is filed under the name uncultured bacterium. RNAcentral describes it as "partial 16S ribosomal RNA". It matches the Rfam family "Bacterial small subunit ribosomal RNA", at positions 28 to 506 of the family's 1533-position model. The record is from RNAcentral.
GAUGAACGCUGGCGGCGUGCCUAAUACAUGCAAGUCGAGCGAACAGAUGAGGAGCUUGCUCCUCUGACGUUAGCGGCGGACGGGUGAGUAACACGUGGAUAACCUACCUAUAAGACUGGGAUAACUUCGGGAAACCGGAGCUAAUACCGGAUAAUAUAUUGAACCGCAUGGUUCAAUAGUGAAAGACGGUUUUGCUGUCACUUAUAGAUGGAUCCGCGCCGCAUUAGCUAGUUGGUAAGGUAACGGCUUACCAAGGCGACGAUGCGUAGCCGACCUGAGAGGGGGAUCGGCCACACUGGAACGGAGAAACGGUCCAGACUCCUACGGGAGGCAGCAGUAGGGAAUCUUCCGCAAUGGGCGAAAGCCUGACGGAGCAACGCCGCGUGAGUGAUGAAGGUCUUCGGAUCGUAAAACUCUGUUAUUAGGGAAGAACAAAUGUGUAAGUAACUAUGCACGUCUUGACGGUACCUAAUCAGAAAGCCACGGCUAACUACGU